GGAUGUAGCUCAGUUGGUAGAGCACUUGCCUCGCAUGCACAAAGUCCUGGGUUCAUUCCCCAGCACCG
This 68-nucleotide transfer RNA is filed under the name Marmota monax (woodchuck). Its description in RNAcentral is "tRNA.Ala". It matches the Rfam family "tRNA", at positions 6 to 65 of the family's 71-position model. Rfam says of the family: Transfer RNA (tRNA) molecules are approximately 80 nucleotides in length. Their secondary structure includes four short double-helical elements and three loops (D, anti-codon, and T loops). Further hydrogen bonds mediate the characteristic L-shaped molecular structure. tRNAs have two regions of fundamental functional importance: the anti-codon, which is responsible for specific mRNA codon recognition, and the 3' end, to which the tRNAs corresponding amino acid is attached (by aminoacyl-tRNA synthetases). tRNAs cope with the degeneracy of the genetic code in two manners: having more than one tRNA (with a specific anti-codon) for a particular amino acid; and 'wobble' base-pairing, i.e. permitting non-standard base-pairing at the 3rd anti-codon position. The record is from RNAcentral. Lineage: Eukaryota; Metazoa; Chordata; Mammalia; Rodentia; Sciuridae.